This 24-nucleotide microRNA is filed under the name Gallus gallus (chicken). RNAcentral describes it as "gga-miR-12255-3p". The record is from miRBase by way of RNAcentral. Lineage: Eukaryota; Metazoa; Chordata; Aves; Galliformes; Phasianidae.
CGUGGCACCGCUCCCGGCACCGCG